RNAcentral lists this ribosomal RNA (305 nucleotides) under uncultured bacterium. Its description in RNAcentral is "bacterial SSU rRNA". It matches the Rfam family "Bacterial small subunit ribosomal RNA", at positions 337 to 659 of the family's 1533-position model. The record is from RNAcentral.
GCCUACGGGGGGCAGCAGUGGGGAAUAUUGCGCAAUGGGGGAAACCCUGACGCAGCAACGCCGCGUGCGGGAUGAAGGCCUUCGGGUUGUAAACCGCUUUCAGCAGGGAAGAUCCAAGACGGUACCUGCAGAAGAAGCCCCGGCUAACUACGUGCCAGCAGCCGCGGUAAUACGUAGGGGGCAAGCGUUAUCCGGAUUCAUUGGGCGUAAAGCGCGCGCAGGCGGGUUGCUAAGCGGGACCUCUAAUCUCAGGGCUCAACCUUGAGCCGGGUCCCGAACUGGCAGCCUCGGGUUCGGUAGGGGAG